ACUCCUGCGGGAGGCAGCAGUGGGGAAUAUUGGACAAUGGGCGCAAGCCUGAUCCAGCCAUGCCGCGUGAGUGAUGAAGGCCCUAGGGUUGUAAAGCUCUUUCACCGGUGAAGAUAAUGACGGUAACCGGAGAAGAAGCCCCGGCUAACUUCGUGCCAGCAGCCGCGGUAAUACGAAGGGGGCUAGCGUUGUUCGGAUUUACUGGGCGUAAAGCGCACGUAGGCGGACUAUUAAGUCAGGGGUGAAAUCCCGGGGCUCAACCCCGGAACUGCCUUUGAUACUGGUAGUCUUGAGUUCGAGAGAGGUGAGUGGAAUUCCGGGUGUAGAGGUGAAAUUCGUAGAUAUUCGGAGGAACACCAGUGGCGAAGGCGGCUCACUGGCUCGAUACUGACGCUGAGGUGCGAAAGCGUGGGGAGCAAACAGGAUUAGAAACCCGAGUAGUCCCAUGA
RNAcentral lists this ribosomal RNA (449 nucleotides) under uncultured organism. RNAcentral's name for it is "partial 16S ribosomal RNA". It matches the Rfam family "Bacterial small subunit ribosomal RNA", at positions 335 to 800 of the family's 1533-position model. The record is from RNAcentral.